AAGUCGUAACAAGGUAUCCGUAGGUGAACCUGCGGAUGGAUCAUUACUAUAUUUUGUUUGUGGUGACUUGCAUUCACUUGCAUUUCAUUCACUCUCAACAUUAAUUAUUGUGAACUGUCUGGUUUCCAGCGAUAAACGUUCGCGUCUGUCAAUGGGGCCACUUUUUUACAUUAAAACUACAAUAUUCAACCAUAAUCUAGAAAUCUUAAAACUUUUAGCAACGGAUCUCUAGGCUCUC
This 238-nucleotide unclassified non-coding RNA is filed under the name fungal sp. Its description in RNAcentral is "partial internal transcribed spacer region". The stretch from base 1 to 46 matches the Rfam family "Eukaryotic small subunit ribosomal RNA", at positions 1786 to 1831 of the family's 1831-position model. The record is from RNAcentral. Lineage: Eukaryota; Fungi.